AUGUACCUUAGCUGCGUCCACAGGGAGGUGUCCAAAAGCUACCGGUAUAAAAAUAACUUAAGGGCCAAGAGUCGCGUAGCUUCCGCGGAGGCGGCGGCGGCGGCGGCGGCGGCGGCCGCGGGGCCUGAGGUAUCGGUCGUUGGGGAGCCCGCGCGGGCCGGCGGGUCACCGGCAGUCGGCGGCCGCGGCGGGCGGCAGGAAGGGCGGGCUGGGCAGCUGCUUGAAGAACUGCCGCAGGCCGGCCAGGUCCCGCGUGAGCUGCUCCACGCGCUGCUGCAGCUUCUCGUUCUCGGCCGACAGCUCCACCAGCUUCUGCUGCAUCUCCUGGUUGCGCCGCUUGGCCUUGUCGCGGCUCUUGCGCACCGCGAUGUUGUUGCGCUCGCGCCGCUGCCGGUACUCGGGGCUGCCGCGGUCCGGGCCCCGCUUGCCCGCAGUCUUGUCCCGGGCGGCGCCGGCGGGGCUGGGCCCGGGGCUGCCGCGGGGCGGCUCGGGCGACGUGGGCGGCGUGGGCUGCGCGGCCGCCAGGCUCACUACCGUCUGCGCGCACGCGGCCACCUGCGCUGGCAGCAGCGAGCCGGCCGCGUCGCCGUCCCCCGCGCCCCAGUCGGGCUCGCGCUUGAGCGGCCGCGGGGCAGCGGGGCCCGGGCCCUGGGCGCGCGCGGGGCCGCCGGGCAGCAGCUCCAGGCCGCCCGCGCCCGCCGCGCCCGCCGCGCCCGCCGCGCCCCCCGCGGCCCCCGCGCCCGCCUUGUGGUUGCUGUUGAACAGGUCGGCGAAGAGCUCGUCGUGGCACAGCUCCAGGGUGGGCACGGCGGCCAUGGAGUCGAUGUAGGCGCUGAAGUCGAUGGCGCUCUCGUCGUCGUACAUGGCGGGGCCCGCGGCGCCCGGCUCCGCCGCGCCCCCCGCCUCGCUCCCGCGGCCCGGCUUCCCCGCGCGGCCCGCCUCGUAGAAGGCCGCGGGCUCCGCGGGCCAGGACACGCCGCGCGCCGGGCCGUCCAGGCUGAAGAGCGCGGCGCUCAUGGCGGCGUCGGGCCGAGCUCCCCGGGCGAGCGCGCCUGUCGGCUCCCGCGCCGGCCCCGCCGCCUUUUCUACCCCGGCUGA
This 1098-nucleotide long non-coding RNA is filed under the name Canis lupus familiaris (dog). Its description in RNAcentral is "lncRNA (ENSCAFG00000051375.1)". Lineage: Eukaryota; Metazoa; Chordata; Mammalia; Carnivora; Canidae. The record is from RNAcentral.